RNAcentral lists this ribosomal RNA (324 nucleotides) under uncultured eukaryote. RNAcentral describes it as "partial 18S ribosomal RNA". It matches the Rfam family "Eukaryotic small subunit ribosomal RNA", at positions 1470 to 1796 of the family's 1831-position model. The record is from RNAcentral.
CCUUUAGAUGUUCUGGGCCGCACGCGCGCUACACUGAUGCAUUCAACGAGUUUCUUCCUGGUCCGAGAGGAAUGGGUAACCUUUUGAAAGUGCAUCGUGAUAGGGAUAGACUAUUGCAAUUAUUGGUCUUCAACGAGGAAUUCCUAGUAGACGUAGUUCAUCAGACUGCAUCGAUUACGUCCCUGCCCUUUGUACACACCGCCCGUCGCUCCUACCGAUUGAAUGCUCAGGUGAGCCAUUCGGACUUUCAUCAUGCUGGUUUCCAGUUUUGAUGAAGGAAAGUCUUGCGAACCUUAUCAUUUAGAGGAAGGAGAAGUCGUAACA